Molecule: RNA transcript, 3273 nt
Organism: Drosophila teissieri
Lineage: Eukaryota; Metazoa; Arthropoda; Insecta; Diptera; Drosophilidae
Gene: ClpX
Gene name: ATP-dependent Clp protease ATP-binding subunit clpX-like, mitochondrial
Exons: 7
Source: RefSeq, a predicted model, not a curated record
AUAUUUUCGUGUUAGAAAUUUACUUUUCCGGCCUCGACACAGUCAAAAUUCCAGCAGACAGCUAAAUUCCCAGUUUCAAAGCCACAGUUUUUGGGUCCUCGUUUUUGUCCACUUUAUGUCACUUUGUGUUCCACUGUGCGUUGCGCGGCCUCACCGAAGAUUGGGAAGAAGAAGAACGGCGAACAGCUGAGGCCGAUAGCAACAAUCGAUUGCUAUCGUAAUCGUUUACUUGGAUUGCUGCGAUUUUUCCAGAUUUUCCGAGUACUUACAAGAGACAAAAAUUGGAUCAGAUAAUGUUGGAGACCCUAGAAAUUUGCGGAUCUUUUAAAACAGUAUAACCACCGAAUAAGCAAGAAGAAGCAUAACGAGUGUGGCAGCCAAAACAACGAGAAUCACACGCACGCACACAGCCACAAAAAUUACGUGCAGAGCGCAAUCUAUUCCCCCCAUUUUCCUCCGAAAAUAAAGCAAGGCAGGCGGAAAAUCAACCAAAUUGCGACGCAUUUUGGAGAGCGACGAAAAAACAACAAGUGGAUACAAAAAAGGAAUCCCUGCAAGCCGAGCCAUCCCCAGCAGGAGUCACAACAACUUACAGAUCAACUUUGCAGAUCAGCAGAGCAAGAAGAAGAAGCGGCGACCAGCUGAGUAACGAAGCAAAGCAGGGGCGCAGGGGAAUCCGAGUCCAGAAGCAACUGCAGCGGGCGCGGAGGAAGCGGUAGAAGGAACAGAGGUAGAAGGCGCACAGGCGGCGGGCGGCAGCCACCAUGAGCAUGGUGCGGCGGAUUAUCCUGCUGGGCCCCAAAUACAGUGUGUGGGCAAAGGGAAGCGGGGCUGGUCAAUCACAGCGCUCGGCAAGAUGUGUUAUCCUAAGCGCAGGAUCUGCGGAUGACAGCAACUGUGGCGUAAGACGCUUCCACCUAGCAACACGGAACUGCGCGAGGAAUCGACUGAUGAGAUUGGAGCCCGCGAUGGCAAUACCGGCAUAUAUUGAUGUAACCAACGCCACUUCAAGAACGCCAGGGGACUCCAGCGACAGUGGGAGCGGCAGCGAAGGGGGAGCCAGUGCGUCGGGAGGUAGUGGAGCGAAGAGCCCCGGCAGUGCGGCUGGUUCUGGUGCAAGUUCUACUAGUGGCGCCGAUCCGCCAGGCGGCGGCAGUGACAAGUUCCUCUCGUGCCCAAAGUGCGGCAGCGCCUGCACCCAAGUUGAGACUUUUGUCAGCUCGACGCGGUUCGUGAAGUGCGCCAAGUGCAACUACUUCUUUGUUGUGCUCUCGGAAGUGGAGACCAAGCAGCGCACCAAGGACGAGCCCAAGAACCAGCGCAAGCCGCCACCUCCACCACAAAAGAUCAUGGAGUACCUGGACAAGCACGUUGUGGGACAGGACUUCGCCAAAAAGGUGCUGGCGGUGGCCGUCUACAACCACUACAAGCGCAUCCACCACAAUCUGCCGCAACUGCAAAACCAGGGAGCUGGUGCCAGUGGAUCCGGUGGCGGCCUAGAUGGUAUUCCUCGGCCCGACCUGCUACACAUCACCGGUAUCGGUCACACGCUGAACAGCUCGCCGGGCAACGAACUGCCUCCAAAGUCGCCGGCUCAGAUGGGCAUGGGCGGGGGAAUGGGAGGACCUGGACUUGGAGCAGGACUAACGGGUGCAUCAUCGAGCAAUGCGCGUGGAGGUGGCGACCAUCGAUCCGGAUCAGAAAUACUUGACCGGCAUUCCAGCGAUGUUAAGCUGGAAAAGAGUAACAUAAUCAUGUUGGGCCCCACGGGAUCCGGUAAGACGCUGAUCGCCCAGACUAUUGCCAAGUGCCUCGAUGUGCCCUUCGCCAUUUGCGACUGCACCACCUUGACACAGGCGGGCUAUGUAGGCGAGGACAUCGAGAGCGUUAUUUCAAAGCUACUGCAAGAUGCCAACUACAAUGUAGAGCGCGCACAGACGGGCAUUGUUUUCCUCGACGAGGUGGACAAAAUCGGUGCCGUCCCCGGAAUUCACCAGCUUCGUGACGUUGGAGGCGAGGGCGUGCAGCAGGGCAUGCUAAAAAUGCUCGAAGGCACUGUGGUCAACGUGCCGGAGCGGAACUCCCCGCGCAAACUGCGUGGCGAGACCGUCCAGGUGGACACUACAAACAUCCUUUUCGUGGCCUCUGGUGCCUACACAGGACUGGACAGGCUUAUCGCACGUCGUCUCAACGAAAAGUAUUUGGGUUUCGGCAUGCCUUCGACCAGCGGAUCUGGCCGUCGUGCAGCUCAAUCAGCCGCCAGUCCCAUGGACAACGACCAGGAGGAGCGUGAUAAAUGCCUGACCAAAGUGCAGGCUCGUGAUCUCGUUGAGUUCGGCAUGAUACCGGAAUUCGUUGGACGUUUCCCGGUUAUCGUCCCCUUCCACAGUUUGAACGUUAGCAUGCUUGUGCGUAUCCUUACAGAGCCGCGAAACGCUCUAGUGCCGCAAUAUAAGGCACUCCUGGGUCUUGAUGAGGUAGAUCUUACGUUCACCGAGGAUGCUGUAAAGUCGAUAGCCCAGCUGGCGAUGGAAAGGCACACGGGAGCUCGUGGACUGCGCUCCAUAAUGGAACAACUGCUGCUGGAUCCCAUGUUCAUAGUGCCUGGUUCAGAUAUUCGGGGUGUUCACAUAACCGCCGAUUAUGUCAAGGGCAGCUCCACCCCCGAGUACAGUCGUGAUGCAGACGCCCCGGCAUCUGGGACGGUUGCCACGGAUUCCGAUACCACAACCGAUAAUGAUAAGAACUUUGAGAAUAGUGAGAAAAUCCCUUCCUCAAACCCAUCACUCUGUAAAAUAUGACCCGCUGAGGAGUGUAUGAAUGCUCUCGCAUACAAUCAUAAUGAAUAUAUCCUCAAUCCCAUAUGCAUCUGUGAUUCAUAAACGACGAGCAGCGCAAUCUUUUGAGCCCGAAGCAAUUCAGAUCGGACCGUUUUAGUUCGGCUAUUGUGAUCUUGCCGCUCCAACUGCGGUUUACCGAAUAGAAAAUGCGCGCGAUGACUGUGUGCACGUAUCUGGAAUGGAACUCCGUGGCUUCCUUGAGAAAGGCCAAGCCGGGGUGUGUGUCCACCACAUCCUGCACCAUGGGCACCAGGUCCUCGGGCACGAUAUACGAACGGAAUCUCUGGCCACGCGACAGAAUGUACACGAAUCUCGAGGCCGCCUCAUGGCAAUAAACAUUCAUUCUGCAAGUAAAAUUAAAAUAAAUAAAAUAAUAAAUAUAAAUAUAUGUGAGCCUAGAAAGAUUUACACAAUACAAUACCAACAUUAAAAA